GCCUUCCUUGUCUUGGGGAGCAGAAUGUCCAGUGAACGUAUAGUGAGGGCAUUGCUGCUGACAAUAAACCCAUUACUCGAGAGUCCUUCUCGUAAACCCCCCGGCCGGUGGAUCGCUUUCGAACAGCUGAUCCGGCUGGUCGGAAUUUUUGAAGCG
This 156-nucleotide non-coding RNA is filed under the name Anopheles atroparvus. RNAcentral describes it as "U4atac minor spliceosomal RNA". It matches the Rfam family "U4atac minor spliceosomal RNA". From Rfam's summary of the family: U4atac is an essential component of the minor U12-type spliceosome complex which is required for removal of the rarer class of eukaryotic introns (AT-AC, U12-type). The record is from RNAcentral. Lineage: Eukaryota; Metazoa; Arthropoda; Insecta; Diptera; Culicidae.